Molecule: ribosomal RNA, 468 nt
Filed under: uncultured bacterium
Lineage: Bacteria
Description: partial 16S ribosomal RNA
Rfam family: Bacterial small subunit ribosomal RNA
Source: RNAcentral
GACGAACGCUGGCGGCGUGCUUAACACAUGCAAGUCGAACGGAAGGGCCCUGCUUUUGUGGGGUGCUCGAGUGGCGAACGGGUGAGUAACACGUGAGUAACCUGCCCUUGACUUUGGGAUAACUUCAGGAAACUGGGGCUAAUACCGGAUAGGAGCUCCUGCUGCAUGGUGGGGGUUGGAAAGUUUCGGCGGUUGGGGAUGGACUCGCGGCUUAUCAGCUUGUUGGUGGGGUAGUGGCUUACCAAGGCUUUGACGGGUAGCCGGCCUGAGAGGGUGACCGGCCACAUUGGGACUGAGAUACGGCCCAGACUCCUACGGGAGGCAGCAGUGGGGAAUAUUGCACAAUGGGCGGAUGCCUGAUGCAGCAACGCCGCGUGCGGGAUGACGGCCUUCGGGUUGUAAACCGCUUUCGCCUGUGACGAAGCGUGAGUGACGGUAAUGGGUAAAGAAGCACCGGCUAACUACGUG